UACGAAGGGGGCUAGCGUUGCUCGGAAUCACUGGGCGUAAAGCGCGCGCAGGCGGUCUUCCAAGUCAGUGGUGAAAGCCCGGAGCUCAACUCCGGAACUGCCAUUGAAACUGUUAGACUUGAGGACGAGAGAGGUGAGUGGAAUUCCCAGUGUAGAGGUGAAAUUCGUAGAUAUUGGGAAGAACACCGGUGGCGAAGGCGGCUCACUGGCUCGUAUCUGACGCUCAGGCGCGACAGCGUGGGGAUCAAACAGG
This 253-nucleotide ribosomal RNA is filed under the name uncultured bacterium. RNAcentral's name for it is "partial 16S ribosomal RNA". It matches the Rfam family "Bacterial small subunit ribosomal RNA", at positions 524 to 776 of the family's 1533-position model. The record is from RNAcentral.